Ananas comosus (pineapple) is the source of this 1177-nucleotide RNA transcript. RefSeq lists it as uncharacterized. The transcript is spliced from 8 exons. Lineage: Eukaryota; Viridiplantae; Streptophyta; Magnoliopsida; Poales; Bromeliaceae. The record is from RefSeq and is a predicted model, not a curated record.
AGAGAAAACAAAAAAGGGUCGUAUCCCUCUUCUCCCCUCACCCGACACCCCCCCGAAACCCUAGAGAGGCCCUCGCUCUUCUUCUCCACUGCGCCCGUUCCCUGCGUCGACCUCACAGGAACGCCUCAGCGUCGACCUUUUCUCUCCCUCCGAGCUCGAGCUCUGCAUGGUGCGGUGGAUAUCCCUCCUCAUUGGGGUCCUAAACCUAGGGAUCGUCCUUUUGGGAGGGAUUCUGUUGGACUCCGUUGUCUCCGGCUUCUCAGCCACGGCGAAGAUCCUCAUCGCCACGACGACGCUUAUCGCCGGCGUGAGGGUCGCAGCCAUGGUCGGCGCCGCGAGGGCGCAGCAUGCCGCAGCAGAGAACAUUGCUGGUAUUUGGCGGACGGUUCCGUCGCCGUCGACGGCGCUCUUCGCCACGAGAGACGGGUGUUCAGACAUAUUAAAGUGGAGGUCCUUUUAUGCGACUCAUGAUACUGCAUGGAAAGCUCAUUACAGAGAGGAUUGCUUAGAAGAAGAUGAAGUUUACUCUGUGGCAAGACUCUUAGGCGACUUGGUGGCAUAUCGAGCAUCAAGAACAGGACAUUUGGAACUCUUGCAGGAGAAGCAAUUAAGGGUCAAUAUGAAGAUCAAUAAAUUGCGUGAGACAGUGAAGGCGCAUCAACAAAAGGCUGAUAUAUUCAGCUUGCGUGAGAGAGAUUUGCUGAAGCACGAUGCUGACGAAGUCUCACAGCAUCAAGCCAAGGGAGAGAAUAAAGAGAGAGCAACAUGCUGGUUUCAGUGAAUAAAUAGUCAUGGCGCUUUGGAUACUGGACUUUCUUGUAGAAAAUGUUGGUGGGGCCUUGUUGAGCAAUCAUGGGGAAUACUUCAAACUUAUCCAAAAUUACUGCCUUUCUACUCAAAUUUUGAUCAGAUUUAUAAAAGGUGGUGACGAGAAAUAUUUUGGCAGGUCAUUGGUGAUGUAUUGAAUCAAGUUUAAGAAUUUAGACAUAUUUUGAAAACUUUACAUUUGAUAGCAUGUGGAAAUAACAAAAAUACUAUUAUUGUGUUUUGUUUUUUGGUUGUGUUGGGUGAUUGUAUUACUUAUAUAUGAUGAUUCAGUCUUAUAUACGUUGUCCCAAACUUUUUUCUAUUGUGAGAGACAAUUCGAUGCAAAAUGUAGGAUUUCUACUUGUUGAUA